Molecule: ribosomal RNA, 253 nt
Filed under: uncultured bacterium
Lineage: Bacteria
Description: partial 16S ribosomal RNA
Rfam family: Bacterial small subunit ribosomal RNA
Source: RNAcentral
UACGGGGGGGGCAAGCGUUGUUCGGAAUUACUGGGCGUAAAGGGCUCGUAGGCGGCCUACUAAGUCGGACGUGAAAUCCCUCAGCUUAACUGGGGAACUGCGUCCGAUACUGGAUGGCUUGGAUUUGGGAGAGGGAUGCGGAAUUCCAGGUGUAGCGGUGAAAUGCGUAGAUAUCCGGAAGAACACCGGUGGCGAAGGCGGCCUGCUGGGCAGUGGCUGACGCUGAGGCGCGACAGCGUGGGGAGCAAACAGG